This is a microRNA precursor of Mesocricetus auratus (golden hamster), 63 nucleotides long. Lineage: Eukaryota; Metazoa; Chordata; Mammalia; Rodentia; Cricetidae. The record is from Ensembl.
GGCGGGCGGGAGGGACGGGAUGCGGUGCAGUGUUGUUCUUUGCCCCGCCAAUAUUGCACUCGU